Molecule: long non-coding RNA, 532 nt
Filed under: Callithrix jacchus (white-tufted-ear marmoset)
Lineage: Eukaryota; Metazoa; Chordata; Mammalia; Primates; Cebidae
Description: lncRNA (ENSCJAG00000076968.1)
Source: RNAcentral
CGGGCGCGCGCGCGCACGCCAAACCCUUUCCUCUCGCGCGCGGGCGGAGGGAGGACGUUGAAGAGUCGUGGGCCUAGGAAAAAAGCGAUUGGUGCUGGGGCGGGCAAAGGGCAAGUGCGCGCACGCGCACGGAUGGGAGUGCGCACGCAGACUGCGCGGAGGGCGCCGGACUCUGGCUGCGGCUGUAGUUUGCUGAUCCUCGCUUGGGUACCCGCCCUUAGAGGCCCGGCGUUGAAUUCCGGGAAGUGGGAGCUGCAGGCUCGCUCCGUGCGGGUGAAAAGGCACGGCUGCUGGCAUGAUAGGGGUUUCCUAGAAAGCAGUGAAGAGACCAUAGCCUAAUGAGAGCAGAGACUUGGGACCAGGAAGCAUAAAGCCAUGAAAUAAUGACUCUACUGUAUUAGAGGUAAUUUAUUGCUGUUUCCAGUAUUUAACAUAUGGAGUAAAAUCCUAAAUGCUGAAUGAAAGAAUCCAAAAGCGGAACAUAAUAUAAGGUAUCUUAGGGUCCCUCAAAAAAGAAUUAAAUACCAUUGGU